RNAcentral lists this ribosomal RNA (301 nucleotides) under uncultured bacterium. RNAcentral describes it as "partial 16S ribosomal RNA". It matches the Rfam family "Bacterial small subunit ribosomal RNA", at positions 509 to 808 of the family's 1533-position model. The record is from RNAcentral.
CAGUAGCCGCGGAAUACGAAGGGGGCUAGCGUUGUUCGGAUUUACUGGGCGUAAAGCGCACGUAGGCGGAUCGAUCAGUCAGGGGUGAAAUCCUGGAGCUCAACUCCAGAACUGCCUUUGAUACUGUCGAUCUCGAGUCCGGAAGAGGUGAGUGGAACUCCUAGUGUAGAGGUGGAAUUCGUAGAUAUUAGGAAGAGCACCAGUGGCGAAGGCGGCUCACUGGUCCGGUACUGACGCUGAGGUGCGAAAGCGUGGGGAGCAAACAGGAUUAGAUACCCCUGUAGUCCCUGUCUCUUAUACC